Molecule: ribosomal RNA, 468 nt
Filed under: uncultured bacterium
Lineage: Bacteria
Description: partial 16S ribosomal RNA
Rfam family: Bacterial small subunit ribosomal RNA
Source: RNAcentral
GACGAACGCUGGCGGCGUGCUUAACACAUGCAAGUCGAACGGAAAGGCCCUGCUUUUGUGGGGUGCUCGAGUGGCGAACGGGUGAGUAACACGUGAGUAACCUGCCCUUGACUUUGGGAUAACUUCAGGAAACUGGGGCUAAUACCGGAUAGGAGCUCCUGCUGCAUGGUGGGGGUUGGAAAGUUCCGGCGGUUGGGGAUGGACUCGCGGCUUAUCAGCUUGUUGGUGGGGUAGUGGCUUACCAAGGCUUUGACGGGUAGCCGGCCUGAGAGGGUGACCGGCAACAUUGGGACUGAGAUACGGCCCAGACUCCUACGGGAGGCAGCAGUGGGGAAUAUUGCACAAUGGGCGGAAGCCUGAUGCAGCAACGCCGCGUGCGGGAUGACGGCCUUCGGGUUGUAAACCGCUUUCGCCUGUGACGAAGCGUGAGUGACGGUAAUGGGUAAAGAAGCACCGGCUAACUACGUG